Molecule: ribosomal RNA, 446 nt
Filed under: uncultured bacterium
Lineage: Bacteria
Description: bacterial SSU rRNA
Rfam family: Bacterial small subunit ribosomal RNA
Source: RNAcentral
ACCAGACUCCUACGGGAGGCAGCAGUGGGGGAUAUUGCACAAUGGGGGGAACCCUGAUGCAGCGACGCCGCGUGGGUGAAGAAGCGCCUCGGCGCGUAAAGCCCUGUCAGCAGGGAAGAAAAUGACGGUACCUGAAGAAGAAGCCCCGGCUAACUACGCGCCAGCAGCCGCGGUAAUACGUAGGGGGCAAGCGUUAUCCGGAUUUACUGGGUGUAAAGGGGGCGCAGACGGCGAUGCAAGCCAGGAGUGAAAGCCCGGGGCCCAACCCCGGGACUGCUCUUGGAACUGCGUGGCUGGAGUGCAGGAGGGGCAGGCGGAAUUCCUGGUGUAGCGGUGAAAUGCGUAGAUAUCAGGCGGAACACCGGUGGCGAAGGCGGCCUGCUGGACUGCAACUGACGUUGAGGCCCGAAAGCGUGGGGAGCAAACAGGAUUAGAUACCCGCGUAU